CUACGGGUUGCUGCAGUGAGGAAUAUUGCACAAUGGGGGGAACCCUGAUGCAGCAACGCCGCGUGGAGGAUGACGCAUUUCGGUGUGUAAACUCCUUUUAUAUGUCAAGAAAAUGACGGUAGCAUAUGAAUAAGCACCGGCUAACUCCGUGCCAGCAGCCGCGGUAAUACGGGAGGGUGCAAGCGUUACUCGGAAUCACUGGGCGUAAAGGACGCGUAGGCGGGUUGGAAAGUCAGGUGUGAAAUCCUACAGCUUAACUGUAGAACUGCACUUGAAACUUCUAAUCUAGAGUAUGGGAGGGGGAGAUGGAAUUAGUGGUUUAGGGGUAACAUCCGUAGAUAUCACUAGGAAUACCUAAAGCGAAGGCGAUCUCCUGGAACAUUACUGACGCUAAGGCGUGAAAGCGUGGGGAGCAAACAGGAUUAGAUACCCGAGUAGUC
Molecule: ribosomal RNA, 440 nt
Filed under: uncultured bacterium
Lineage: Bacteria
Description: partial 16S ribosomal RNA
Rfam family: Bacterial small subunit ribosomal RNA
Source: RNAcentral